RNAcentral lists this ribosomal RNA (251 nucleotides) under uncultured bacterium. Its description in RNAcentral is "partial 16S ribosomal RNA". It matches the Rfam family "Bacterial small subunit ribosomal RNA", at positions 524 to 776 of the family's 1533-position model. The record is from RNAcentral.
UACGGUAGGGUGCGAGCGUUAAUCGGAAUUACUGGGCGUAAAGCGUGCGCAGGCGGUUUUGUAAGACAGAUGUGAAAUCCCCGGGCUUAACCUGGGAACUGCAUUGGUGACUGGCGGCUAGAGUAUGGCAGAGGGGGUAGAAUUCCACGUGUAGCAGUGAAAUGCGUAGAGAUGUGGAGGAAUACCGAUGGCGAAGGCAGCCCCCUGGGCCAAUACUGACGCUCAUGCACGAAAGCGUGGGAGCAAACAGG